ACCCUCCGGACACCUCCCUGCAAACCCUCCGGACACCUCCCUGCAAACCCUCCAUUCACCUCCCUGCAAGCUCCAGCCCCGGCCCCAUCCAAGGGAACAGCACGGCAAGCGGGGAUCUGGAGUGGAGGUUCCUCCUUCCCUCCCCUCGUUAUUCCUGGCUGUUGUGGCACCCAGGGUUGGCACCUAGGCACAAAAGGGCUGCUUGCUCAGCAGAGCACAGGUUCCAACUCUUGUAUUUCCUUCCCAUUGUUUAGUGGGGUUUGAUCUUUAUCGGUUAUUUACGUGAAGGUUCUUUUUCUCCUAGCAUUAAUAGACUGAAAAGCACGUGAAACUAAAACAAAGCCGACAUCCCUGGACAUCCUGCGAGCCAUUGUUAGGCAGGAUUUUGAACCAUGUCGCACUAUUGAAUUUGAUAAGGAUUUUGCAUAAUAAGGGGGGAAAGUUCUAUGGUACUUCAUUGCAUUUUUGUUAUGUAGAAGCCUGCCGGAAGAGUCACAAUGUAGGAGUUCAGCACCUUCUAAUAGGAUUUCAUGUGGUUACAAUGUUCCUAAAGGCAACUUUAGGAAGGAUGCUGACAAAUGUCUGUCGUGCAAUCACUUUUCAAGGUGGAAAACUUCCCAUUAACUUUGAUUUUUAGAAACAUUUCCAUGUCUCAGUUCACUUUUCAGACCUUUUGCCAGCAAAUUUCUGUUGCGUGUUUUGCACUCCAGGCUGUGCUUCUGACUGACAUUAAGUACAAAUCUUAUUUAGAGAACGAAUUCAAAGCAAACAAAAGAAAAUCAGAAAGCAGUUUUAAAGAACCCCUUCCUGUUGAGAUUGACUUGAGUGGGAGCUGCGUUUAGGACUAAGUGUGGUGUUCAACACUGUAAAAAUUGCUCAUGCUUUGUUUAAAAACCUCACAAACAUAGAGGCACUCCUCUAAGUGAUAGUGUAAAAUGAUACUAACUUGAUGGAUGUCGUGAAAGAUACUUGUUUGGAAAAACUCUGCAGUUGAAAUAAACACUGAAACUUCAAAGUACGGUACAGUGAGAAAAAUUUAAAUAAUUUUUAACUUUAAAUACUGCAGCUUCCUUAAAAUCAGAAAUUUGGGUUCAGUGCAGGGUGUGGCGCAUGAAAGGGAGGCCAAAAUUUCGAAAAACUGGCAAUGAAUUAGUCUCAGAUUCACAGUGGCAGCAGACAGACAUGUUCCAGUGCAGGAGCUGAGUUCAGGUACAGGUCUGGGUAGCAAAUAACAGGUUUUACAAAACUUGUUGAGAAACAAAAGAGGGGAUUCUGCCAGGUAGAGGACAGCAAGGAAGUGAAGAUCUGAGUGUGCUGAGAGUUUGUGUGAUGUGAGAACAGCAGAAUUGUUGCUGGGGAGAGGAGACUGGAUUUUGUGGUAGCUUCAGAUGGAGUCUUUAUUUGGCUUUUAAUGUAUUGUAAUGGAAGUUUGGUGUGUUCAUCUGAAAGAGGUUGUCAUCAAGUGAGAAAUCUUAAGAGAAAAUUGGUAAAAGCAGUAUUAACAAAGAAACCAUGAUCUUUUUACCCUGUUCUGGCUCUGUUAGUGCUACAUUGCUGCAGCUGCCAGGAUUGAUUUGAUUUGGUUUUACAGUCUGCUUUUCUUUGUUGCUGUCUUUUAGAGUGAUGCAUGUGUGUGGUUUGUUGGUUUAUUUUUCUUUUUUUUGUCUUUUUUUCCUAAGAGGGAGUUUGAAGACGCUUUAUUCUCUAGUGAAAAAUAUAUUUUAAAAAUCAUGGGAUGAAGAGAAAUGAGUGGAGCAACAUGGGGGCUGAGUUUUGUGCCAUGUAUGUGAACAGCAGGGCAAUCUAUUGCUGCAGGACAUAAAUCAGGAGCUGGCUGCAGCUUAAGGACAGUGCUCUUUGCUAAAGGAAAUACUGGGUUUAGGAGCAAUUUCUUUAUGGAUAUGCUGUGCAAAGGUGAGAACUGGUUCCUUGGCCUACUCUGAGCCAUUUCCAAGGUCCUGUAUCCUUUGGGCCUAACUCUGAUUUUACAGAGUAGGAGAGUCCAGGGAACAUCACCAGCAUAAAUCUGACAAAAAGUUGCACCCAACAACGUUCCUGGAGCAGUACCAAGUGGCUGGAGCAGAAAACAGCAAGUUUGGGUUCUAAACAAUAAAGUUUAGCACCCUCCCAAAAGCUGCAGAAAAAACCAUUUGAAUGGAGCAUGAAAAAGUUUCUUGAACUGCCUUAGUUUGCACUUAGUUUACUUGAAUAUUUGAACCUGAAGCAGUGAUAAUCAAAAAGCCAGGUCUAUGGAUGGCUCUGCCUGGGAGAACUAUGGAAGAAAGAGUAUAAUUUAGGCUGUCACAGGUGGGUGUAGCCUUAGGGCACAGCAAAAACCUUUUCCUGUAGUGGUUUUUUGUCUGUUAAUUUAAGAUUUCUUUAAUUUUGAGAUUUUUUUUUAAACUAAUGUUUUGAUGAGUGUGGUGGGUUUUAGUGUUGGUUAAUUACUUAGGUACUUAUUUUUUGUUGUGAGGUGGGAAGACAGGAUUAGGAGAAAGGUAAAGUAGGUUUAAAAUUUUAAAAGGGGAUAAAGAAAAUUUUAUUAGUAGUAACUAAAGAAAAAAAUAGUAGUAAGAAUUUAAACAAAUUUUUAGAAUACUUUUUUUCUCUUUACAAUUUUUUUUUUACUGAUAAUGUAAAGAAACAAAACCUCAAAUUUAUAGUUAGUAUACUACUUUUGAAAUAGUAUUUUUUGAGUUUACUUAGGGAGAAAAGUCUCUUGUUAAUAUUAUGGAGAUUUCUGUACAAGAUGAAAAAAAUGGGGUUUUUGUGGUUCCUUUACGAAAACAGUAAAAAGUAUUUUUUUUUGUGGUUCUUUUACAAAAACAGUAGUUGCACAGGGAAAUUUGCUAUUGUGAAGUUUUUCACCACGUGCUGCUCAGGGAAAUUUGUUGUUGUGAAGUUUUUCACCACUGCUGCUGCCUGUGUUUUUGAAAUGCACUGCAGAGCUGCGCUUGUGUUUCCCCUGGGGAUCCUGUGCCUGUGGUUGGAUUGUGCCCUCUGCCAUGUGUGAUCCAGCUGCCAAUUGACCUGGCAGCUCCAAUCAACUCCUGAGGUCAGCAGCACUGGGGAAAAAGAACCAUCUUCAUUAACCCCUGAGCAUCUUCUGGUCCCUAGCAAAGGUGGGCUGGGUAAUUACAGCAAAGGCUUGGAGCUGAAUGGAGACAUUUUAGGAGGUGUUUCCCCCACUGUGGGAGUCUGGCUCGGUGAUGGCACAGGGAGGGGACACCAGUGCACAUGUGCAAUUUAAAUAGCUCUGGAUUCUGCAUCAUAAAUAUGCACCGGAUGCAGGGAAGGCAAAAAAAGAAAAAAAAAAACAACCAACCCCAGCACGUUCUCUCAGGAUGCUGUUAGGGCCAAGCAGCAUCUCAUUAGGGACAACUUCAAAGAUCAGUUCCUCAUGUCCAUAAAAACAAGUGUAAAUUAUCUUCUGUGAGCCUGCUGUUAGCAGUUGCACUGUUACAUUAUGCAUGUAGCCUAGACUGCACAUGGUAUCAACAAACUGUGCUGGGUUUCUUCAUUAGGGUUUCAUUUUUAUGCAAGGCAUGGCUACUUCGCUGUUUAUUUGUUGUAGUUUUGGCUAAUACAGUAUUUGACUUAACCUUUCCUGCUGUAUUAGCUGUUAGCAGUGCCACAGUGCCUGAAAAGGUCUUUUAGGGUUCCACGGUGCCUGUGUUUUCAUAGAGGAAUGGCAUACAGACAAUUCCCUGUAUUGACAGCUUCACUUUCUCAUUCUUCUGCUUCCUGCACUCAGUGAGAGAGGGGGUGGCUGAUCCUGACCCUCUUGGAAUGAAACUUGAAGGAGCUUUCAGUGAUGCUGCUCUGCAGCACCUGACUUAAAUGUUUAUGGAAAUGGUAAAGAGGGGAGAACUUCAAUGCUGUGCGCUUUCACUGCCCCAUCAUACACAGCUGAAAGGCAAGCUUGUAAUCGUUGCUGGGGGAAUGUUUUGAAGUGGUGAAAUGCAGCCCCUGUGCAUGGAAGUUUUGUGACAAUUUCCUCUGGGAUCAAGAUUUUUGAGACUGUAUUCACUGUCCUUGCAGAAACAGUAAGAUGCCAUGGAAUAUUCUCCUGAACUGUAUUGCUAAAAAAGGAAUUUUUAUAUUUUUCUUUUCCUGUGGUACUUUUGCCUUUUUUGUGUAGCUUAAUCAUUGAUGAAAGGAAGCAUUCACUUGCACACCUAGUCAAGUCUUGCCACAACCUUUGGGUGUGAUGUUGAACUCUGGGUCAGCAAUCUGAUCUGCACAGUGAUUUCACCAAGACCUGCACCUUGGGGCUGCUUUAGGCUGCUCUAACUAAGUUCUCUUGUGACAUCCAGCGUGGCUUGAGUGGUUCAAGCCACUGUUGUAGCCCUCACA
Molecule: long non-coding RNA, 4356 nt
Organism: Passer domesticus (house sparrow)
Lineage: Eukaryota; Metazoa; Chordata; Aves; Passeriformes; Passeridae
Exons: 3
Source: RefSeq, a predicted model, not a curated record